UCUCUCUCUCCUCACAAGAAAGGUCAGCUGAGUAUAUAGCCAGAAGGUGCCCAUCUGCUACCCAAGGGUGAAGUCUCACCAGAAACCAAUCGUACUGGCAUCCUGAUCUUAAACUUCCAUGCUCCAGAAUGAUUCCUUUCUGCUAAAUCAUCUGGGCUGUCAGUCAAGGACUCAGCAAACACAUUAUUUGGCCAUGUUUAAAUGAAACAUAUGGGUGACAUGCUAAAUUCAUAACUGAAAUGACUGAAAAUGUGCAAAUAUCAAGGUUACCUGGGUCUGCUGGUCACUUCUAGUUUUUGGACUCCUGAAGAUGGUGAGUUUUGCUAAUGAUGCGCGGCCGUUUAGGAACCGGUGGCUUUUCUGGCAAUCACUCUUUGUGUGCCAUCUUUUAUAAAGGUGCUUCUUGUUGCUAAGAGAUCAGUUGCUUGGAGACCAAACCAUUAAAAAAAUAUAUAUGUCAGGGGCCAACAUAAAUUAUAACCAAAUUUUGUCAUUUCAGCUCGCCCUCUGAAUGUUUCGCUUUUGUAAUAGAUCGUAGCGUACCAAGAGAAGCCAAUUACUAAUCACAAAUAGAAAGCUGACCAUGAGGAGGAGAAAAGAUCUGUGUGUACGCUCCCAUGAACAGAGUAAUGCCAUGCCUCCCUUCCGUGGAGGUACAUCCUCGCUGGGCUCUCUGAAACUUCGGCUCCUCAUGGGGGGUCCUAGACAGACGCUGUAAAUACAGAUUUACACAGACACACACACAGAUAGCUGUCCCAGGGAAACUUGAGUGCAGGCUUGAGUAUGAAGACAUGACAAUUGUGGAGCUACUUUAUAGUCUUUUCCUAAGGAAAAUUAAGAGAAAAAUGCUAUGCUUAGGAAAAUGUAAGUUGGAAAUCUGAAGUGAUGUUAGCCUCCAGCCAGAUGUUUUUAUGUGUGAACACGAUUGUCACUGCAUCAGGUUCAGUUGUGUAUACCCGGGGCUUACAGGGGUGCUUGGAUAAAAAUCUCUCUACCUUUUAUUUUCUCUCCUGUACUGAGAUAUAGCAUUAGCUGAGAGGGAAAAUACAAUCAGUUAAGUAAGGUAAGAUUUGGCUUGGGGGGAGGCGCCUUUCUCUUUUCCUGGUGUUACCACCCCUUGAGACCCUCCCCUCAAAUUUACUGUCAGCUAAAUACUGUCCCACAUAGGGACAUUUACAUUUUAGGAAUAUAUUUUUAAACGAAGGACUCAAGUUCCUUUAAGAUUUAAGGGAAUAGUGGCAUUCCAAGCUUCUUAACAGGUAGGAUGCAAGAUCUUUUGGGGCAAAAUAAAGCUGGAUGCGACCCUCCACUGGAUAACACCAUAACACACCUCCUUCUGCAUUUCUCCUUCUUCUGCCUCCCCCAUUCUCCAAGGUCUCUGUGACUCUGUCCUGGGUGAAAAGCAAGCAAAUAAGAGACCAACGACUUGGAUUAAAAUCAAAAUGAGAAGUAGAAAGAGUACCUAGUGUCUUAAAGAUGCACGCCCUGCCUAGCCUCCAAAGUGCUUGCCAUUCUAGAAGCCUUCAGGCCCCCAGCCUGAUUCAGAAGGCAUCCUGGAAUGAACCCACUGCAUAGGAGAGGGCAAGCAAGGCAAUCUGAUGAAAAUCACCCAGAAGGAAAGAAAAGGCAGGGACUCAUUUAUAGGAGGAUACACUGGCUGACGUACAGCACCUCUGGACACACCCAAUCAAAAUAAUGGAGGAUAUAUCCUUUCAGAAAAAAUAACCGAGGCUCCUCAGCCAAGAAAGAAGAAGGCUAAA
Long non-coding RNA from Sapajus apella (tufted capuchin), 1760 nucleotides. RefSeq lists it as uncharacterized. The record is from RefSeq and is a predicted model, not a curated record. NCBI's taxonomy places the organism in Eukaryota, Metazoa, Chordata, Mammalia, Primates, Cebidae. The transcript has 5 exons.